GGAGUUAGCCGGUGCUUCUUCUGCGAGUAACGUCACAGAUGUAAGGUAUUAACUUACACCCUUUCCUCCUCGCUGAAAGUGCUUUACAACCCGAAGGCCUUCUUCACACACGCGGCAUGGCUGCAUCAGGGUUUCCCCCAUUGUGCAAUAUUCCCCACUGCUGCCUCCCGUAGGAGUCUGGGCCGUGUCUCAGUCCCAGUGUGGCUGAUCAUCCUCUCAGACCAGCUAGGGAUCGUCGCCUAGGUGAGCCUUUACCUCACCUACUAGCUAAUCCCACCUGGGCUUAUCCAUCAGCGCAAGGCCCGAAGGUCCCCUGCUUUCCCCCGUAGGGCGUAUGCGGUAUUAGCAGUCGUUUCCAACUGUUAUCCCCCACAAAUGGGCAAAUUCCCAGGCAUUACUCACCCGUCCGCCGCUCGUCAUCUUCAAAAGCAAGCUUUUGAAAUGUUACCGCUCGACUUGCAUGUGUUAGGCCUGCCGCCAGCGUUCAAUCUGAGCAGAANACAACUACUGA
This 511-nucleotide ribosomal RNA is filed under the name uncultured bacterium. Its description in RNAcentral is "partial 16S ribosomal RNA". The record is from RNAcentral.